Molecule: long non-coding RNA, 564 nt
Organism: Anthonomus grandis grandis
Lineage: Eukaryota; Metazoa; Arthropoda; Insecta; Coleoptera; Curculionidae
Exons: 3
Source: RefSeq, a predicted model, not a curated record
CCCAGGAAUCAUAGACGAUCGUAAUGAAUUGAUGGUUUACGUCUGCAUUCGGAUCAAUUACGUAGAAAAAGUAACAUUUCAAGACGAUUCAAGGCAUAUUAAAAAGGUGAGAUGCGGUAGAAACCCAAAAAUUCGACUUUUGACCCCCUUUUUGGCAUGAAAACCCAUCUGACACCCAGGAAUCAUAGAGGAUCGUAAUGAAUUGAUGGUUUACGUCUGCAUUCGGAUCAAUUACGUAGAAAAAGUAACAUUUCAAGACGAUUCAAGGCAGAUUAGAGAGGUGAGAUGCGGUAGAAACCCAAAAAUUCGUCUUUUGACCCCUUUUUUGGCAUGAAAACCCAUCUGAGACCCAGGAAUCAUAGAGGAUCGCAAUGAAUUGAUGGUUUACGUCUGCAUUUGGAUCAAUUACGUACAAAAAGUAACAUUUCAAGACGAUUCAAGGCAUAUUAGAGAGGUGAGAUGCGGUAGAAACCCAAAAAUUCGUCUUUUAUUAUAUUUUGUCUUAUAUCGUAUAUUCGUUCGUAUAUUCGUCUUAUAUCAUAUUUAUAAAUAUAUAUAUACACA